AACACAUUACCAUCCCUAACGAAUCCUCUUCGCGGUAUUCUCUCUCUUUUCCUAUGUGUGCACAACACCUCACUUUGCCGCACAACCCAACACCGUUGCCACUGAUACCUCCGUUCCGUUGCGCACUUUCCGUAGAGUAACUUCCACACCCUCAUACACUGGGUUAUGAGAGCUGGAAAUGGAUUUGGUGGUAUUAGAGUUUGUGUAGCAAGUGUUUGAAGUGGUUGAAGCAAUGGACUUGGUGGUACCACAUAUAUAGUUUUAUUCAUAUUAGCACUUCCUAUGAGAAAGAUAUAGCUCUGGUUCUGCAUUCAAUUUGGUGAGAGUAUAACUAUGGCCUGCAAAUUUCAGUUAUUUGGUCUGUCUGAUGGGGUUAUUGACUUUAGAAAACCUAAUGAGACUUGGAAUAGAAAGCAUUUGGGCUUUAGCGUGUUUGUUUGUUCAAAACAUGGAAGUUCUGGUUUGAAAAGUAGUCUGCAAUAUUCUGAAAGAUUCUCUAAAUGUGCUUUAAAUGGGGUGGAGUCCUCAGCAAGGGUCAAUAAUUCCCUGAAUUUUGAGGAGUCAGAGAUCCGUCAUCUCCAUAGGUUAAUUAGAAAUGGGGAAUUGGAGGAAAGUUCUAAGUUUCUUGAGUAUAUGACUAAUAAGGGUAAUAUCCCCGAUGUUAUUGCUUGCACUGCUUUAAUCCGUGGGUUUUGCAAGAUUGGCAGGCCUAAGAAUGCAACUCGAAUCAUGGGAGUUCUGGAGGUUUCUGGAGCUGUUAUUGAUGUAACCUGUUACAAUGUUUUGAUCAGUAGUUAUUGCAAAUUAGGGGACACAGAAGAAGCCUUGCGGAUUCUGGAUCGCAUGAGUGUUGCUCCAAAUGCUGCUACAUAUGAUGCAAUUUUGUGUAGUUUGUGUGAUAGAGGGAAAUUGAAGCAAGCCAUGCAAGUACUUGACAGGCAGGUGCAAAGCAGGUGUUACCCAGAUAUAGUUACGUGCACUGUACUGAUUGAUGCAGCUUGUAAAGAAAAUGGAGUUGGUCAGGCAAUGAAACUGUUCAAUGACAUGAGGAGAAAAGGAUGCAAACCUGAUGUGAUUACAUAUAAUGUUCUUAUAAAAGGGAUUUGCCAUGAAGGUAGGUUGGAUGAAGCAAUUAGAUUUUUAAACAAAUUGCCAUCCUAUGGUUGUCAGCCUGAUGUGAUCUCCCAUAAUAUUGUCUUGCGUAGCUUGUGUAGCGUUGGAAGAUGGAUGGAUGCUAUGAAACUAAUGGCUAACAUGCUUCGUAAAGGGUGUUUCCCCAGUGUUGUUACUUUCAAUAUCCUGAUCAAUUUCCUGUGCCAAAAAGGCUUACUAGAUAAAGCCCUUAAUAUCUUGGAGAUGAUGCCAAAGCAUGGUCAUACUCCUAAUUCGAGAAGUUACAAUCCAUUGAUUCAAAGGUUUUGUAAUGAAAAAGGCAUUGAUAGAGCAAUUGAGUACUUGGAAAUAAUGGUAUCUAGGGGUUGUUACCCAGAUAUAGUGACCUAUAAUAUUUUGCUAACUGCACUAUGCAAAGAUGGGAAGGCGGAUGAUGCAGUUGAGAUACUGAGGCACCUAUGUUCCAAAGGGUGCUCUCCUUCUCUAGUCACAUACAAUACAGUGAUUGAUGGGCUUUUGAAGGUUGGAAAAACAGAGCGUGCCGUGGAACUCUUCGAAGAGAUGAACAGAAUAGGUCUGAAACCUGAUAUUAUUACUUACAAUAUAAUCAUUGACGGGCUUCUAAAGAUGGGGAAAGCCAAACUUGCUGUAGAGCUUUUGGAAGAGAUGUGCAGUAAGGGUCUUAAGCCUGAUCCAAUUACUUGCACUUCAGUAGUAGGAGGCCUAAGUCGUGAAGGAAAGGUUCAUGAAGCUAUAAAUUUUUUCCAUUACAUGAAAAGCUUUGGAAUUAGACCAAAAGUAUUCAUUUACAAUUCAAUAAUGAUGGGAUUAUGUAAAGCUCAUCAAACUAGUCGGGCAAUAGAUUUUCUGGCUGAUAUGGUGACAAAAGGAUGUAAACCUACAGAGGCUACAUAUUCUAUUCUUGUAGAAGGCAUUAUAUAUGAAGGAUUGGCUGAGGAAGCUUCGGAGUUAUUGGAUGAAUUGCACUCCAGAGGACUUGUCAAGAAAAGUUUGGUUGAAAAAGUAAGAGUCGAGAUUUAGAAGAAAACAGAUUGGUUCAGCUUGUCUACAUGGUUUGGUUGAUUCCCAUUCAGUUCUAUCAAGAAUCAAAAUUUCAAUAAAACCAUUUGUGCAUAUUCCUUUAAAGCUGUUGAUUCCCAUUCAGUUCUAUCAACAACGCAAUUUUACAUUACAAUAUUAUGGCCUUUCCUAGUUAUGCACUUAGAUUUUGUUGUCCCCUUAUUUUUAGUGAGCACUGUUCAUUUGGUGCAGAUUAUAGAUUUUAACUUUGAGUGACGGGACGCAUGAUGUUAAAUUCCAAGUCAAUUUUUAUAAUAAUAGGAACUUCUUGGUUAGCAAAUACAAAAGUGUAUUAUUCAAGAGAAGAGAAGAGAAGAGACAUGUAUUUACGAGGGAAGGAAAUCUGCAAAUACAAUUACAGGCCAUGCCUUGCAUGCGCGCGUUAAUGUAUCUUGUUCCUUGAUUUUUAUCUUUCUCCUCUAGCAGACAAGUAGUACCAAACAUUUGAGAUGGAGGCUAGUUCUUGUCCUUUUUUGUUGUUUGCAGUUGAAGAAUAAUAUUGCAUUGAGAAUUGAGUCAGUUUGAAAAAUUCCUGCUCAUUUUCCCUCAU
Unclassified non-coding RNA from Vigna unguiculata (cowpea), 2743 nucleotides. The record is from RefSeq and is a predicted model, not a curated record. NCBI's taxonomy places the organism in Eukaryota, Viridiplantae, Streptophyta, Magnoliopsida, Fabales, Fabaceae.